Molecule: ribosomal RNA, 253 nt
Filed under: uncultured bacterium
Lineage: Bacteria
Description: partial 16S ribosomal RNA
Rfam family: Bacterial small subunit ribosomal RNA
Source: RNAcentral
UACGUAGGGUGCGAGCGUUUAAUCGGAAUUACUGGGCGUAAAGCGCGCGCAGGUGGUCUUUCAAGUCAGUGGUGAAAGCCCGGAGCUCAACUCCGGAAAUGCCAUUGAAACUGUAAGACUUGAGGAUGAGAGAGGUGAGUGGAAUUCCCAGUGUAGAGGUGAAAUUCGUAGAUAUUGGGAAGAACACCGGUGGCGAAGGCGGCUCACUGGCUCAUAUCUGACGUCAGGCGCGACAGCGUGGGGAUCAAACAGG